RNAcentral lists this ribosomal RNA (441 nucleotides) under uncultured bacterium. RNAcentral describes it as "bacterial SSU rRNA". It matches the Rfam family "Bacterial small subunit ribosomal RNA", at positions 34 to 471 of the family's 1533-position model. The record is from RNAcentral.
GAAUUCACUAGUGAUUCAGGCCUAACACAUGCAAGUCGAGCGGUAGAGAGAAGCUUGCUUCUCUUGAGAGCGGCGGACGGGUGAGUAAUGCCUAGGAAUCUGCCUGGUAGUGGGGGAUAACGUUCGGAAACGGACGCUAAUACCGCAUACGUCCUACGGGAGAAAGCAGGGGACCUUCGGGCCUUGCGCUAUCAGAUGAGCCUAGGUCGGAUUAGCUAGUUGGUGAGGUAAUGGCUCACCAAGGCUACGAUCCGUAACUGGUCUGAGAGGAUGAUCAGUCACACUGGAACUGAGACACGGUCCAGACUCCUACGGGAGGCAGCAGUGGGGAAUAUUGGACAAUGGGCGAAAGCCUGAUCCAACGAUGCCGCGUGUGUGAAGAAGGUCUUCGGAUUGUAAAGAAAGGAAGUUGGGAGGAAGGGCAUUAACCUAAUACGUUAG